Molecule: unclassified non-coding RNA, 322 nt
Filed under: Hevea brasiliensis (rubber tree)
Lineage: Eukaryota; Viridiplantae; Streptophyta; Magnoliopsida; Malpighiales; Euphorbiaceae
Source: RNAcentral
UUAAUUGUGGGAUCUAUUGGACUUUUUGGACUUAUUCUCCUUGCUUUGAUGCAAAAAAUAAGGAGUGGGAGUAAUGUGCUUGGUGUUGCUAUGGCAUGCUNNNNNNNNNCAUUUGGACUUGUUACAGGUGCCUUUCUUCUUGGUUUUGGUUUGAGUGAAAUUCCUAAGAACCUGUGGAGAAAUGCAGAUUGGACAACCCGCCAAAAAGUUCUUUCUCAUAAAAUUGCCAAAAUGGCUGUGAAACUUGAUGACGCUCAUCAAGAACUUUCAAAUGCUAUUGUAGUUGCUCAGGCAACUUCCAAUCAGAUGUCCAAGCGUGACC